This 75-nucleotide transfer RNA is filed under the name Bacteroidales bacterium. RNAcentral's name for it is "tRNA-Pro". It matches the Rfam family "tRNA". From Rfam's summary of the family: Transfer RNA (tRNA) molecules are approximately 80 nucleotides in length. Their secondary structure includes four short double-helical elements and three loops (D, anti-codon, and T loops). The record is from RNAcentral. Lineage: Bacteria; Pseudomonadati; Bacteroidota; Bacteroidia; Bacteroidales.
CGGGGUAUGGCGCAGUCCGGCUAGCGCACCUGCUUUGGGAGCAGGGGGCCGCAGGUUCGAAUCCUGCUACCCCGA